Molecule: ribosomal RNA, 333 nt
Filed under: uncultured bacterium
Lineage: Bacteria
Description: partial 16S ribosomal RNA
Rfam family: Bacterial small subunit ribosomal RNA
Source: RNAcentral
CCUACGGGUGGCAGCAGUGAGGAAUAUUGGUCAAUGGCCGAGAGGCUGAACCAGCCAAGCCGCGUGAGGGAAGAAGGCCCUAAGGGUUGUAAACCUCUUUUGUCGGGGAGCAAAGUGAGUAACGAGAGACUCAGUGAGAGUACGCGAAGAAAAAGCAUCGGCUAACUCAGUGCCAGCAGCCGCGGUAAUACGGAGGAUGCGAGCGUUAUCCGGAUUUAUUGGGUUUAAAGGGUGCGGAGGCGGAGGUGAAAGUCAGUGGUCAAAUUGCGGGGCUCACCCCCGUCCUGCCGUUGACACUGCCUCCCUUGAGUUCGCGAGAGGUAUGCGGAAUGC